UUAAGCGACUAAGCGUACACGGUGGAUGCCCUGGCAGUCAGAGGCGAUGAAGGACGUGCUAAUCUGCGAUAAGCGUCGGUAAGGUGAUAUGAACCGUUAUAACCGGCGAUUUCCGAAUGGGGAAACCCAGUGUGUUUCGACACACUAUCAUUAACUGAAUCCAUAGGUUAAUGAGGCGAACCGGGGGAACUGAAACAUCUAAGUACCCCGAGGAAAAGAAAUCAACCGAGAUUCCCCCAGUAGCGGCGAGCGAACGGGGAGCAGCCCAGAGCCUGAAUCAGUGUGUGUGUUAGUGGAAGCGUCUGGAAAGGCGCGCGAUACAGGGUGACAGCCCCGUACACAAAAAUGCACAUGCUGUGAGCUCGAUGAGUAGGGCGGGACACGUGGUAUCCUGUCUGAAUAUGGGGGGACCAUCCUCCAAGGCUAAAUACUCCUGACUGACCGAUAGUGAACCAGUACCGUGAGGGAAAGGCGAAAAGAACCCCGGCGAGGGGAGUGAAAAAGAACCUGAAACCGUGUACGUACAAGCAGUGGGAGCACGCUUAGGCGUGUGACUGCGUACCUUUUGUAUAAUGGGUCAGCGACUUAUAUUCUGUAGCAAGGUUAACCGAAUAGGGGAGCCGAAGGGAAACCGAGUCUUAACUGGGCGUUAAGUUGCAGGGUAUAGACCCGAAACCCGGUGAUCUAGCCAUGGGCAGGUUGAAGGUUGGGUAACACUAACUGGAGGACCGAACCGACUAAUGUUGAAAAAUUAGCGGAUGACUUGUGGCUGGGGGUGAAAGGCCAAUCAAACCGGGAGAUAGCUGGUUCUCCCCGAAAGCUAUUUAGGUAGCGCCUCGUGAAUUCAUCUCCGGGGGUAGAGCACUGUUUCGGCAAGGGGGUCAUCCCGACUUACCAACCCGAUGCAAACUGCGAAUACCGGAGAAUGUUAUCACGGGAGACACACGGCGGGUGCUAACGUCCGUCGUGAAGAGGGAAACAACCCAGACCGCCAGCUAAGGUCCCAAAGUCAUGGUUAAGUGGGAAACGAUGUGGGAAGGCCCAGACAGCCAGGAUGUUGGCUUAGAAGCAGCCAUCAUUUAAAGAAAGCGUAAUAGCUCACUGGUCGAGUCGGCCUGCGCGGAAGAUGUAACGGGGCUAAACCAUGCACCGAAGCUGCGGCAGCGACGCUGAUGCGUUGUUGGGUAGGGGAGCGUUCUGUAAGCCUGCGAAGGUGUGCUGUGAGGCAUGCUGGAGGUAUCAGAAGUGCGAAUGCUGACAUAAGUAACGAUAAAGCGGGUGAAAAGCCCGCUCGCCGGAAGACCAAGGGUUCCUGUCCAACGUUAAUCGGGGCAGGGUGAGUCGACCCCUAAGGCGAGGCCGAAAGGCGUAGUCGAUGGGAAACAGGUUAAUAUUCCUGUACUUGGUGUUACUGCGAAGGGGGGACGGAGAAGGCUAUGUUGGCCGGGCGACGGUUGUCCCGGUUUAAGCGUGUAGGCUGGUUUUCCAGGCAAAUCCGGAAAAUCAAGGCUGAGGCGUGAUGACGAGGCACUACGGUGCUGAAGCAACAAAUGCCCUGCUUCCAGGAAAAGCCUCUAAGCAUCAGGUAACAUCAAAUCGUACCCCAAACCGACACAGGUGGUCAGGUAGAGAAUACCAAGGCGCUUGAGAGAACUCGGGUGAAGGAACUAGGCAAAAUGGUGCCGUAACUUCGGGAGAAGGCACGCUGAUAUGUAGGUGAAGUCCCUCGCGGAUGGAGCUGAAAUCAGUCGAAGAUACCAGCUGGCUGCAACUGUUUAUUAAAAACACAGCACUGUGCAAACACGAAAGUGGACGUAUACGGUGUGACGCCUGCCCGGUGCCGGAAGGUUAAUUGAUGGGGUUAGCCGCAAGGCGAAGCUCUUGAUCGAAGCCCCGGUAAACGGCGGCCGUAACUAUAACGGUCCUAAGGUAGCGAAAUUCCUUGUCGGGUAAGUUCCGACCUGCACGAAUGGCGUAAUGAUGGCCAGGCUGUCUCCACCCGAGACUCAGUGAAAUUGAACUCGCUGUGAAGAUGCAGUGUACCCGCGGCAAGACGGAAAGACCCCGUGAACCUUUACUAUAGCUUGACACUGAACAUUGAGCCUUGAUGUGUAGGAUAGGUGGGAGGCUUGGAAGUGUGGACGCCAGUCUGCAUGGAGCCGACCUUGAAAUACCACCCUUUAAUGUUUGAUGUUCUAACGUUGACCCGUAAUCCGGGUUGCGGACAGUGUCUGGUGGGUAGUUUGACUGGGGCGGUCUCCUCCUAAAGAGUAACGGAGGAGCACGAAGGUUGGCUAAUCCUGGUCGGACAUCAGGAGGUUAGUGCAAUGGCAUAAGCCAGCUUGACUGCGAGCGUGACGGCGCGAGCAGGUGCGAAAGCAGGUCAUAGUGAUCCGGUGGUUCUGAAUGGAAGGGCCAUCGCUCAACGGAUAAAAGGUACUCCGGGGAUAACAGGCUGAUACCGCCCAAGAGUUCAUAUCGACGGCGGUGUUUGGCACCUCGAUGUCGGCUCAUCACAUCCUGGGGCUGAAGUAGGUCCCAAGGGUAUGGCUGUUCGCCAUUUAAAGUGGUACGCGAGCUGGGUUUAGAACGUCGUGAGACAGUUCGGUCCCUAUCUGCCGUGGGCGCUGGAGAACUGAGGGGGGCUGCUCCUAGUACGAGAGGACCGGAGUGGACGCAUCACUGGUGUUCGGGUUGUCAUGCCAAUGGCACUGCCCGGUAGCUAAAUGCGGAAGAGAUAAGUGCUGAAAGCAUCUAAGCACGAAACUUGCCCCGAGAUGAGUUCUCCCUGACUCCUUGAGAGUCCUGAAGGAACGUUGAAGACGACGACGUUGAUAGGCCGGGUGUGUAAGCGCAGCGAUGCGUUGAGCUAACCGGUACUAAUGAACCGUGAGGCUUAACCUU
Molecule: ribosomal RNA, 2904 nt
Filed under: Escherichia coli
Lineage: Bacteria; Pseudomonadati; Pseudomonadota; Gammaproteobacteria; Enterobacterales; Enterobacteriaceae
Also listed under: 1 other name
Description: bacterial LSU rRNA
Rfam family: Bacterial large subunit ribosomal RNA
Source: RNAcentral